GAAAUGCGAUAAGUAGUGUGAAUUGCAGAAUUCAGUGAAUCAUCGAAUCUUUGAACGCACAUUGCGCCCCUCGGUAUUCCGUGGGGCAUGCCUGUUCGAGCGUCAUCUACACCCUCAAGCUCUGCUUGGUGUUGGGCGUCUGUCCCGCCUCCGCGCGCGGACUCGCCCCAAAUGCAUUGGCAGCGGUUCCUUGCCCCCCUCUUUGCGCAGCACAUUGCCAUUCGAGGCGGCGGCGGCCCGCGUCCAACAAGCUCAACCCCCCCGUCUUUGACCUCGGAUCAGGUAGGGAUACCCGCUGAACUUAAGCA
RNAcentral lists this unclassified non-coding RNA (308 nucleotides) under plant metagenome. RNAcentral's name for it is "partial contains 5.8S ribosomal RNA, internal transcribed spacer 2, and large subunit ribosomal RNA". The stretch from base 1 to 105 matches the Rfam family "5.8S ribosomal RNA", at positions 50 to 154 of the family's 154-position model. The record is from RNAcentral.